GACGAACGCUGGCGGCGUGCUUAACACAUGCAAGUCGAACGGAAAGGCCCUGCUUUUGUGGGGUGCUCGAGUGGCGAACGGGUGAGUAACACGUGAGUAACCUGCCCUUGACUUUGGGAUGACUUCAGGAAACUGGGGCUAAUACCGGAUAGCAGCUCCUGCUGCAUGGUGGGGGUUGGAAAGUUUCGGCGGUUGGGGAUGGACUCGCGGCUUAUCAGCUUGUUGGUGGGGUAGUGGCUUACCAAGGCUUUGACGGGUAGCCGGCCUGAGAGGGUGACCGGCCACAAUGGGACUAAGAUACGGCCCAGACUCCUACGGGAGGCAGCGGUGGGGAAUAUUACACAAUGGGCGGAAGCCUGAUGCAGCAGCGCCGCGUGCGGGAUGACGGCCUUCGGGUUGUAAACCGCUUUCGCCUGUGACGAAGCGUGAGUGACGGUAAUGGGUAAAGAAGCACCGGCUAACUACGUG
This 468-nucleotide ribosomal RNA is filed under the name uncultured bacterium. RNAcentral's name for it is "partial 16S ribosomal RNA". It matches the Rfam family "Bacterial small subunit ribosomal RNA", at positions 28 to 507 of the family's 1533-position model. The record is from RNAcentral.